CAAACUGUAUGUCUUAUUAUUGUUUGUUUGCAAUAAUCUGUGCUGUCUAUAUCCUCCUGGGUUUCUGGCUGCCCACCAAAGAUCGAGGUCAAUUUUUCCCAAGCCACACCCCUAAAGAAAACUGACUCGCUCCCAUGAGAAGCCAUCAACUGUAGGUCCUCAGGUAGGGAUGGACUUAGGGACUCCUUCCCACCUCAUGUGGACUGGCUUGACCUUGCACAGGAGUUGUGCAGGCAACCACAGUGGUUGUGAGGUCAUGAGUGAGGUAUCCUGCCAGCUCCCGAAGACACUGUUUCCACCCUGCGCCUUCCUUCCCAGCCUCUGGCACUUGCAGUCUCUGGGACUGCUCUGACGUGGUCCCUGAGCGCUGGGAAAGGGCGUGAUAUAGAUGCUCCACUUGUGACUCAUCGCUCCGCAGAUGCUUUGACCAGCUGUGAGUUUCUGCAUAGCAUAUUCUUUUUCACGGAGUGGUGUUUGCUCGGGUUUACUCCUCCAUCGAGCUGUGCAAACAAAUCUGUGCCACUUAAUCUUAGUGCGCCCAUUUCCCUUAGGAACGGACGCGUUACAACCCUUCUGCUCCCUGUGCUUGGUCUUAGUUUUGCAAUAAACAAUCUGGGUAGAUUUUUAAAAAAAAAAAAGUAUACAUAUUUUUUUUAAAAAAAGAAAAACUAAAUGAUUUUUCUGUGUCUAGGCAUAUUGUCAAAAACAGCAAAACCAUGUUUUCUUAAAGAAGGGCUAUUCUGUAAAAUAGAGAUCAAUGUUUUCCACAAAAUAAAA
This 777-nucleotide long non-coding RNA is filed under the name Rattus norvegicus (Norway rat). RNAcentral's name for it is "long non-coding RNA NONRATT015736". The record is from RNAcentral. Lineage: Eukaryota; Metazoa; Chordata; Mammalia; Rodentia; Muridae.